Molecule: ribosomal RNA, 429 nt
Filed under: Fusobacteriota bacterium
Lineage: Bacteria; Fusobacteriati; Fusobacteriota
Description: Fusobacteria bacterium partial 16S ribosomal RNA
Rfam family: Bacterial small subunit ribosomal RNA
Source: RNAcentral
UGGGGAAUAUUGCGCAAUGGGCGAAAGCCUGACGCAGCGACGCCGCGUGAGGGAUGAAGGUUUUCGGAUCGUAAACCUCUGUCAGAAGGGAAGAAACCGCACUGUGCUAAUCAGCAGUGCCUUGACGGUACCUUCAAAGGAAGCACCGGCUAACUCCGUGCCAGCAGCCGCGGUAAUACGGAGGGUGCAAGCGUUAAUCGGAAUUACUGGGCGUAAAGCGCACGUAGGCUGCUUUGUAAGUCAGGGGUGAAAUCCCACGGCUCAACCGUGGAACUGCCUUUGUUACUGCUUAGCUUGAAUCCGGGAGAGGGUGGCGGAAUUCCAGGGGUAGAGGUGAAAUCCGUAGAUAUCUGGAGGAACAUCAGUGGCGAAGGCGGCCACCUGGACCGGUAUUGACGCUGAGGUGCGAAAGCGUGGGGAGCAAACAGG